AUCACUUCUAGGCCUUUUGGCUAAGAUCAGGUGUAGUAUCUGUUCUUAUCAGUUUAAUGUUUUGUUUUGUUUUUUUAAUUUAUUUCUAGGAGAAAGAGAGAGACAGCGUGAGCAGGGGAGGGUCAGAGAGAGAGGGCGUCACAGACUGAAACAGGCCCCAGGCUCUGAGCUGGCAGUCAGCACAGAGCCCGAUGC
Hyaena hyaena (striped hyena) is the source of this 195-nucleotide small nuclear RNA. RefSeq annotates it as U2 spliceosomal RNA. The transcript has a single exon. The record is from RefSeq and is a predicted model, not a curated record. NCBI's taxonomy places the organism in Eukaryota, Metazoa, Chordata, Mammalia, Carnivora, Hyaenidae.